ACAAAAUAUAACACACAAUUGUUGAACCAUACCAAACUGUUGCCUCGGCGGGGUCACGCCCCGGGUGCGUCGCAGCCCCGGAACCAGGCGCCCGCCGGAGGGACCAACCAAACUCUUUUCUGUAGUCCCCUCGCGGACGUUAUUUCUUACAGCUCUGAGCAAAAAUUCAAAAUGAAUCAAAACUUUCAACAACGGAUCUCUUGGUUCUGGCAUCGAUGAAGAACGCAGCGAAAUGCGAUAAGUAAUGUGAAUUGCAGAAUUCAGUGAAUCAUCGAAUCUUUGAACGCACAUUGCGCCCGCCAGUAUUCUGGCGGGCAUGCCUGUCCGAGCGUCAUUUCAACCCUCGAACCCCUCCGGGGGGUCGGCGUUGGGGACCUCGGGAGCCCCUAAGACGGGAUCCCGGCCCCGAAAUACAGUGGCGGUCUCGCCGCAGCCUCUCCUGCGCAGUAGUUUGCACAACUCGCACCGGGAGCGCGGCGCGUCCACGUCCGUAAAACACCCAACUUUCUGAAAUGUUGACCUCGGAUCAGGUAGGAAUACCCGCUGAACUUAAGCAUAUCA
RNAcentral lists this ribosomal RNA (561 nucleotides) under Trichoderma atroviride. RNAcentral describes it as "eukaryotic LSU rRNA". The stretch from base 181 to 334 matches the Rfam family "5.8S ribosomal RNA". Lineage: Eukaryota; Fungi; Ascomycota; Sordariomycetes; Hypocreales; Hypocreaceae. The record is from RNAcentral.